CCUGCGGAAGGAUCAUUACCGAGUGUAGGGUUCCUAGCGAGCCCAACCUCCCACCCGUGUUUACUGUACCUUAGUUGCUUCGGCGGGCCCGCCAUUCAUGGCCGCCGGGGGCUCUCAGCCCCGGGCCCGCGCCCGCCGGAGACACCACGAACUCUGUCUGAUCUAGUGAAGUCUGAGUUGAUUGUAUCGCAAUCAGUUAAAACUUUCAACAAUGGAUCUCUUGGUUCCGGCAUCGAUGAAGAACGCAGCGAAAUGCGAUAACUAGUGUGAAUUGCAGAAUUCCGUGAAUCAUCGAGUCUUUGAACGCACAUUGCGCCCCCUGGUAUUCCGGGGGGCAUGCCUGUCCGAGCGUCAUUGCUGCCCAUCAAGCACGGCUUGUGUGUUGGGUCGUCGUCCCCUCUCCGGGGGGGACGGGCCCCAAAGGCAGCGGCGGCACCGCGUCCGAUCCUCGAGCGUAUGGGGCUUUGUCACCCGCUCUGUAGGCCCGGCCGGCGCUUGCCGAACGCAAAUCAAUCUUUUUCCAGGUUGACCUCGGAUCAGGUAGGGAUACCCGCUGAACUUAAGCAUAU
Molecule: ribosomal RNA, 569 nt
Filed under: Aspergillus oryzae
Lineage: Eukaryota; Fungi; Ascomycota; Eurotiomycetes; Eurotiales; Aspergillaceae
Description: eukaryotic LSU rRNA
Rfam family: 5.8S ribosomal RNA (bases 201-354)
Source: RNAcentral